GGGGAUUUAGCUCAGUGGUAAAGCGCUUGCCUAGCAAGUAUAAGGCCCUGGGUUCAGUUCCCAGCUCCA
This 69-nucleotide transfer RNA is filed under the name Rattus norvegicus (Norway rat). It matches the Rfam family "tRNA". Rfam says of the family: Transfer RNA (tRNA) molecules are approximately 80 nucleotides in length. Lineage: Eukaryota; Metazoa; Chordata; Mammalia; Rodentia; Muridae. The record is from Rfam by way of RNAcentral.